Molecule: long non-coding RNA, 665 nt
Organism: Schistocerca gregaria
Lineage: Eukaryota; Metazoa; Arthropoda; Insecta; Orthoptera; Acrididae
Exons: 2
Source: RefSeq, a predicted model, not a curated record
UGGCGACGAGGCAAAACCGCGUUCUUAUCGAUAUUGCCCUGAUUUACUUGCGUAAUGGCUUCGCCACAAUCUCCAGAUGUACUGUCCGAAUUUUAUCGCUUACAGAAUCAGCAGACGCAGGCCUUACUGGAUACCCUUGGAUAGCUCGUCCAGGGUAAACGUGCGAUGCAAAACGAUGUGGCAGCAGCCACUUCACCGCUGACGCAGCCACAACACGUUGUUGCACCAACUUUUCGACCUUUUGAUGCUGCACUGGAAAACUGGACGGAGUGGUCACGCCAAUUUGGAUUCCAUCUCGCCGCCUACAGAAUUCAAGGUUACCAGAAGAAUUUGAGAAAGACAGACAGUGCAAGAAGCAGCUGUUGGAGAAUAUCCGAAGUAGGCAUGCAGAAGAGACAAAACAAUUAGUAAACUCAUUUCUAAGUGGCCUUCAGGUCAUUAGUGAGCAGAACACUCAACCCCACUUCAUGCCCUAACGUCAAACACCACAGUUCUUUCCACAGAUUGGUUUUUCCACUUGACUACCCAUUCUCCAACACGAUCCCCUUCCCCAUCCACCUCGAGAGUCCAGUUCAUCUCCAGUGCGCCAUCCACUUCCAGUUAGUCAGUAAGCUUUUUGUAUACUGUAAACUGAAGUACAGCAAAUAAAAGUUAUUGAAAUUGUG